Molecule: ribosomal RNA, 446 nt
Filed under: uncultured bacterium
Lineage: Bacteria
Description: partial 16S ribosomal RNA
Rfam family: Bacterial small subunit ribosomal RNA
Source: RNAcentral
CCUACGGGAGGCAGCAGUCGAGAAUCAUUCACAAUGGGGGAAACCCUGAUGGUGCGACGCCGCGUGGGGGAAUGAAGGUCUUCGGAUUGUAAACCCCUGUCAUGUGGGAGCAAAGUAAAAAGAUAGUACCCCACGAGGAAGAGACGGCUAACUCUGUGCCAGCAGCCGCGUUAAUACAGAGGUCUCAAGCGUUGUUCGGAAUCACUGGGCGUAAAGCGUGCGUAGGCUGUUGCGUAAGUCGUGUGUGAAAGGCGCGGGCUCAACCCGCGGACGGCACAUGAUACUGCGAGACUAGAGUGAGGGAGGGGGAACCGGAAUUCUCGGUGUAGCAGUGAAAUGCGUAGAUAUCGAGAGGAACACUCGUGGCGAAGGCGGGUUACUGGACAGGAACUGACGCUGAGGCACGAAGGCCAGGGGAGCGAAAGGGAUUAGAUACCCGAGUAGUC